CUGAGUAGUAAUAAUUUUAUUUAUAAAAAAUUAUUGCCACCGGUGGUAUGUCGUUCCUAUGGCUUAUGUUGAGUUUUCUAUAGGAUUAGUUUUUCUGUAAUUUGCAACUAGGUCAAGUUAAUGUUGAACUCAACAUCACCUUUCUCCUCAGUUAACCGAAGUCGGAACCAUAAGACUUGAUGUUGGUGUCGCAUAAUGGACCUGAUGUCACAUAAUCGUCCUAAGUCAACC
RNAcentral lists this long non-coding RNA (231 nucleotides) under Elaeis guineensis (African oil palm). RNAcentral's name for it is "long non-coding RNA (EGUI_LNC040285)". The record is from RNAcentral. Lineage: Eukaryota; Viridiplantae; Streptophyta; Magnoliopsida; Arecales; Arecaceae.